RNAcentral lists this ribosomal RNA (1313 nucleotides) under metagenome. RNAcentral describes it as "SSU rRNA". It matches the Rfam family "Eukaryotic small subunit ribosomal RNA", at positions 3 to 1265 of the family's 1831-position model. The record is from RNAcentral.
CCUGGUUGAUCCUGCCAGUAGUCAUAUGCUUGUCUCAAAGAUUAAGCCAUGCAUGUCUAAGUAUAAACAACUUUAUACUGUGAAACUGCGAAUGGCUCAUUAAAUCAGUUAUAGUUUAUUUGAUAGUACCUUACUACUUGGAUAACCGUAGUAAUUCUAGAGCUAAUACAUGCGAAAAGACCCGACUUUUUGGAAGGGUUGCAUUUAUUAGAUACAAAACCAAUGGCCAGCAAUGGUCACACUUGGUGAUUCAUAAUAACUUUUGCGGAUCGCAUAGCUUUACGCUGGCGACGAAUCAUUCAAAUUUCUGCCCUAUCAACUUUCGAUGGUACGGUAUUGGCCUACCAUGGUUACAACGGGUAACGGGGAAUUAGGGUUCGGUUCCGGAGAGGGGGCCUGAGAAAUGGCCACCACAUCCAAGGAAGGCAGCAGGCGCGCAAAUUACCCAAUCCUGAUACAGGGAGGUAGUGACAAUAAAUAACAAUGCAGGACCUUUACGGGUUUUGUAAUUGGAAUGAGUACAAUUUAAAUCUCUUAACGAGUACCAAUUGGAGGGCAAGUCUGGUGCCAGCAGCCGCGGUAAUUCCAGCUCCAAUAGCGUAUAUUAAAGUUGUUGCAGUUAAAAAGCUCGUAGUUGAAUCUCGGAGUCCUUUUUUCUUCGGAAACGCCGAUGGUCGGAAACCCAGAGCCUCGAAAGGGGUGGAUGGGGCUGUUUACUUGAGGCAGGGCUCACAUCUGAGUUUCUCGAAGGUGGCCUCUGCUCUUCACUGGGUUGGGGGACUUUUUCACAUUCGAGACAUUUACUUUGAAAAAAUUAGAGUGUUCAAAGCAGGCAGUUUCGCUUGAAUACAUUAGCAUGGAAUAAUGGAAUAGGACUUUGGUCUUAUUUUGUUGGUUUCUAGGACUGAAGUAAUGAUUAAUAGGGACAGUUGGGGGCAUUAGUAUUUAAUUGUCAGAGGUGAAAUUCUUGGAUUUAUGAAAGACUAACUUCUGCGAAAGCAUUUGCCAAGGAUGUUUUCAUUAAUCAAGAACGAAAGUUAGGGGAUCGAAGACGAUUAGAUACCGUCGUAGUCCUAACCAUAAACUAUGCCGACUCGGGAUCGGUGAGCGUGUUUUUUUACUACCUCAUCAGCACCGUAGGAGAAAUCAAAGUUUUUGGGUUCUGGGGGGUGUAUGGUCGCAAGGCUGAAACUUAAAGGAAUUGACGGAAGGGCACACCAGGUUUGGAGCCUGCGGCUUAAUUUGACCCAACACGGGGAAACUCACCAGGUCCAGACACCGUAAGGAUUGACAGAUUGAGAGCUCUUUCUUGG